Molecule: unclassified non-coding RNA, 240 nt
Filed under: uncultured Ascomycota
Lineage: Eukaryota; Fungi; Ascomycota
Description: sequence contains ITS2
Rfam family: 5.8S ribosomal RNA (bases 1-52)
Source: RNAcentral
AACGCACAUUGCGCCCCCUGGUAUUCCGGGGGGCAUGCCUGUCCGAGCGUCAUUACAACCCUCAAGCCUAGCUUGGUGUUGGGCUCCGCCGCCUGGCGGGCCCUAAAGUCAGUGGCGGUGCCGUCCGGCUCCGAGCGUAGUAACUUUUCUCGCUCUGGAGGCCUGGGCGCGUGCUUGCCAGCAACCCCCAAAUUUUAUCAGGUUGACCUCGGAUCAGGUAGGGAUACCCGCUGAACUUAA